Molecule: RNA transcript, 2199 nt
Organism: Hypanus sabinus (Atlantic stingray)
Lineage: Eukaryota; Metazoa; Chordata; Chondrichthyes; Myliobatiformes; Dasyatidae
Gene name: zinc finger protein 135-like
Exons: 2
Source: RefSeq, a predicted model, not a curated record
UAUAUUUUGAAUGGCACCAUGAUUACCCAUAAAAUUUCGCUGUCGUUUGCAGCACCGAUCAAAUGCGCAGGCGCAGGGUUGCUGCCGUCUCCGAUAACUACGCAUGCGCGCAGUAUACAAAAUGUCGGGAGGAUCGGAAAGAGAAGCUGGCCACACUUGACUGGAAGGGGAAUCUGGUAGGAGUGACGAUGGAGCAGCAAUGGCUGGAGUUUCUGGGAGCAACUCGGGAGCUGAGUGAUAGACACAUCCCAAAGAAGUGGAAGCAUUGGAAAGGCAGGAGGACACAACCAUGGCUGAAAUGAGAAGCCAAAGCCAACAUAAAAUCCAAAGAGAGGGAAAACAAAAGAGCAGAAACUAUUGGGAAGCUUUUAGAAACCAAGAGAAGACAACUGAAAACAUUGUCGGAUGAGCUCACGGUGUGGAAUGAUGAUAUUGUAGCACCCAACAGACUGAGGGAUUGAGAGGAACAAAAUACCCUUGGCCUCGAUAUCUCUAGAAAACCAAGGUUCACUGUACCAGUUAUCUUUCAACUUUCAGUUUUGCAGGCACGUACAAACUCUUCAUCAUCAAAAUUUCACUUCUGAAGUGCUCCCACUCACCAACUAAUUAUGCUAAUUAUCAUAAAUUAUCAAAUUAGUAAAAUUAUAAAUUAGCAAAUUAUCAUAAUUUGCCACGAAACAGCCUGUUCCAAUCCACACUUGUCAGAUCUUUUCUGACACCUUCAAAGUUGACCUUUCUCCAAUUUAGAAUCUCAACCCAUGGUCCAGACCUCUCUUUUUCCAUAUUUACUUUCAAUCUCUUGGCAUUAUGAUAACUAAUUUCUGUCAACAGCCCCGGAUCAUUUCCUAACAGCUUAUUGCAUACUUCUACAUUGGGAAUUCUACUUCCCAAUUAAGGACACAUUUGACUAGUCUUUUUACGGAUGGGAGUCUCAGACAAUAUAUGGAAAAUUAAAAUCACUUAACAUAUCACCCUUUGUUUGUUAGCAUGGUCUGUGAUCACUGGAGAAAGAUUUGUUCCUCUGUAUCCCUCAGACUGUUGGCUGGAACCAUGUCCCAGCAAUGGCUACAAUAUCAUAAUACAUGGUCCAUACAUGCUGGUUGUAUGGUGGAAAAAAACACAACAGUGCCUCUUUCACCUCAGAGCAUUGAGAAGUUUGAAAUGGGGACCUAAAUCCUAAGAACUUUCUGCAGGGUCACAAUUAAGAGCAUUGUGACUGGCUGUGUCACUGCCUGGUAUGGGGACUGUACUUCCCUAUAUCGCAGGACUCUGCAGAGAGUGGUGCGGAGAACCCAGCGCGUCUGUAGAUGUGAACUUCUCACUAUUCAGGGCUGUAAAGAGGACCUGAAGGGUCAUUGUGGAUCCCAGUCAACCCAACCACUAACUGCUCCAGCUGCUACCAUCUGGGAAAUGGUACCGCAGCAUAAAAGCCAGGACCAACAGGCUCUGGGACAGCUUCUUCCACCAAGCCAUCAGACUGAUUAAUUCAUGCUGAUACAACUGUAUUUCUAUGUUAUGUUGACUGUCCUGUUGUACAUAAUGUUUAUUAUAAAUUACCAUAAAUUGCAUAUUGCACAUUUAGACAGACACAUAAUGUAAAUAUUUCUACUCCUCAUGUAUAUGAAGGAUAUAAGUAAUAAAGACAAUUCAAUUCAAUUCUGCACCUCCAUUAUAUGUUCUGUCAUUCUGGCUCCCACCCUGCCUGCAACUUUAGUUUAACUCCCCCACCAGCACUUGCAAGCCUUACCACUGGGACGUUAGUCCCCUUCUAGUUAUGUUCCCCUAACUAUUGAACCCCUAACACACCUUUGUCUUCCCUCUGCCAGAUAAUCCCUCCCCCAACAGUUUCUAAAGUGGCCCACCUGUUGUUGUGUGGGAUGGCCUCAAGAGUACUCUGUGAUGGCUAUUUAACCUCAUUCCACUUCCUGACUCUCACCCAGUUUCCUGUGUCCUGCAUCUCGGUGUAAAACACCUCUCUUUCUGUCAUAUUUUUCACCUUCUCCGACUCCCGGCUGAACCAGAAUUUAUCCAUUUCAAGUUCCAACUCCUCAAAGUGCAGGGUUACAAGCUGUAGCUGGAUGCACAUCUUGUAGGUGAGGGCAUCCGGGACACUGGAGGUCUCCCCACCUUCCCACCAAUGUCCCCUCCAAUUUGUAAUCACCAGUGUGCACAAAAACCUUGUGCUGUGCAAAUUUUUGC